Long non-coding RNA from Homo sapiens (human), 396 nucleotides. RefSeq lists it as uncharacterized. The record is from RefSeq and is a predicted model, not a curated record. NCBI's taxonomy places the organism in Eukaryota, Metazoa, Chordata, Mammalia, Primates, Hominidae. The transcript is spliced from 4 exons.
CAACUUGAUACCUUCGGUGCUCUGUCUGCUUUUUGCUGUUACCAAGGAUAGUGGACUCCACCCGAGGAAGUUACAACAGGAACACAUGAUACAUCUGUACUCUUUGCCAUGUGACUGUAUGACGCCUCCUAGUAAGGAGAGCUUCCUAGGGUGGCAGAUACAUGCAGCCAAUUUAAGCCCAACCUGUAGGCAGAAGCAGAGCUACCCAGCUAAUCUGCAGACAUGCGGGGAACUUGUCUGCUUUAGAAAUGCUGCCUGAUGGACCAGCACCAAGGACGUUUCUUCAGAAGAAAAGCUGUCUCUUUCCCCUGUUCUCUUACAUUCUUUUGCAUAAGGCAGGUACUCGAUAAAUUGAACUGAUUAGUUGCACUGCCCAAUAAGGUAGUCAUUAUCACC